Molecule: ribosomal RNA, 484 nt
Filed under: uncultured bacterium
Lineage: Bacteria
Description: partial 16S ribosomal RNA
Rfam family: Bacterial small subunit ribosomal RNA
Source: RNAcentral
AUUGAACGCUGGCGGAAUGCUUUACACAUGCAAGUCGAACGGCAGCACGGGGGCAACCCUGGUGGCGAGUGGCGAACGGGUGAGUAAUACAUCGGAACGUGCCCGGUCGUGGGGGAUAACGUAGCGAAAGUUACGCUAAUACCGCAUACGAUCUGAUGAUGAAAGCGGGGGACCUUCGGGCCUCGCGCGAUCGGAGCGGCCGAUGUCAGAUUAGGUAGUUGGUGGGGUAAAGGCCUACCAAGCCGACGAUCUGUAGCUGGUCUGAGAGGACGACCAGCCACACUGGGACUGAGACACGGCCCAGACUCCUACGGGAGGCAGCAGUGGGGAAUUUUGGACAAUGGGCGCAAGCCUGAUCCAGCCAUUCCGCGUGCAGGACGAAGGCCUUCGGGUUGUAAACUGCUUUUGUAUGGAACGAAAAGGCUCUGGCUAAUACCUGGGGCUCAUGACGGUACCGUAAGAAUAAGCACCGGCUAACUACGUG